RNAcentral lists this long non-coding RNA (504 nucleotides) under Coccomyxa subellipsoidea. Its description in RNAcentral is "long non-coding RNA (CSUB_LNC000285)". Lineage: Eukaryota; Viridiplantae; Chlorophyta; Trebouxiophyceae; Coccomyxaceae. The record is from RNAcentral.
AAACUGCUCCCUGAGAGCGAUGCGGUCGGGGAAUUGUACCCUUGAUGGGAGCGGCAGGCAGGCUAUAACCUCUCUUGGACUAAGUUGUGCAACCUGCACAGCGCCUCCGUUCAUUCCAUAUUGCUGUCCUUGUGUAUUUAAUCGAAUAAUAUGCUUAAUUGAAAAACCUUCAGGCGCAACAAGCAAAGAGCUGCUCUCACCUCAGCAGUGACUUGGCCCGUGAGCAGCUGCAGGGCAAAAAUCCGCUCUUCCACUGAUCUGACUUCGUCACAAGCAACCUGCGCGAUUGGCAACACUUCAUCUCACAUAGUUGUCGCCCAAGUGGACCUUCAGCUUGCUACACAAUAAAAAUUCGCCCCGGUCUGAGCCUGAGGAGCCACACACCUCGAUCAAGUAGGCUGUGAAAGGGUUGUCUGUGCUACUUUGAUCUCUGUAGACAGCGCAGAACAGAUAUAGCGCUGCAAUGCGUUCCUCAAGGCUUAGAAGGCAAUGCUCUUCGACCUG